UAGAAUCUCAGUUCGGACUGUAGGCUGCAACUCGCCUACACAAAGUUGGAAUUGCUAGUAAUCGUGGAUCAGCAUGCCACGGUGAAUACGUUCCCGGGUCUUGUACACACCGCCCGUCACACCAUGGGAGCUGGUAACACCCGAAGUCAGUAGUCUAACCUCGUGAGGACGCCGCCGAAGGUGGGCUUGAUAAUUGGGGUGAAGUCGUAACAAGGUAUC
RNAcentral lists this ribosomal RNA (219 nucleotides) under uncultured bacterium. Its description in RNAcentral is "partial 16S ribosomal RNA". It matches the Rfam family "Bacterial small subunit ribosomal RNA", at positions 1281 to 1500 of the family's 1533-position model. The record is from RNAcentral.